RNAcentral lists this long non-coding RNA (1092 nucleotides) under Homo sapiens (human). RNAcentral describes it as "RUNX1 antisense RNA 1". Lineage: Eukaryota; Metazoa; Chordata; Mammalia; Primates; Hominidae. The record is from RNAcentral.
UUAGCCAGCAAGCGUGGGGACCUGUGCCACGGAGACACCCAACAGGAAUCAUCAUUCCAGGUAAGCCAGUCCUGUGGUCAGGCACAACGUGAGGUAUUUUUUGUUUGUUUGUUUCUUUGUUUUUUAUUUUAAUUAGUCCCCCUCAUUACUAUAUACUUAGAAAUGAGAGCUUUAACUUGUGAGCAAUUUCUAUACCAGCUGAUACCUGCCAAAAUUGUAGUCAUUUAUAGAGAUUAACUGAUGACUGUCUGCUUUAGCAGAAGUGUUCAGGCAUAACUCUCAGAGAAAACAAUUCUUCACUCUAAGCUGUUUUCUAAGCCCUGGGAGUCUCAGGGCUGAGUUUAAUGCUGGAGGAUUGGGGAAGAGCCCAUUCCACUCUCCCCACGUGUGUUCCUGGGAGUCAGUAGGAACGUUAUUGCCUUGGUAGGGGUCUUGACCCUCAGGCUCACAAUGGUGCUGGAGAGCUGUGACACCAAGGCACAGGGGAAAUGAGAAGCAUUAUCAUAUUCAGGGUGUGGUUUGGAUGCACUUACAAGCUAGAUCGAAGGAACAUCUAAUUCUUACUUUCUGAAACCAUCAGACCUCAUGUGCCAAAUAGCAAUAUUUUGCAUGAAAUAUAGGAACUUCCGAUAUAAACUUUCAAGCUGGGGAAAAUGAAUACUUUAUGUCUUCAGUUUCCUGUAUCUGUGUUCAGUUAAAAGGCUCAUUUGCCCCCCGAAUGUUAAAUAGAGGAGUAUGGAAAAUGUCUACUAUCCAAUUCACUUUUCUUCUUUCUCACUGAGUACCGGGCUUUAGAGGGCAACAGGGAAUUCGACCCUGGGUCAAGCCCUUGGGUAGAACCAGGAUGCAGCUCUGAACACCUGCAUGCUGGCAGCUUGGCUUCUUCAGCAUGUUUGGAAUCAACUGUGAAUGUUUACAGGGCGGUGCUUUAAAGUAGUGGGCACAUCAAGAUUUCACCCUGGGACAUCUUAAUCUUAAGCAGAGUUGAAAAAGGUCCUAAAUUCUUCUAGUACCAUUUUCUCAUUUUUGAAAAAAAUGAAAGUACUUGCUUGGAAUUUUAUUAUGUAUGCAGAGUCAUAAAAAUCCAAAAAA